UGUAUAUAAUACGUACGGAGCGUAGACAAGCCCAUAACUACAGUUCUAGCUGCUGCAAAAACUGAUAUUUGUGAGAUAUCUUGUGACGAGAUGUAUCUCAGAGUAGUGUUAGUGUCCGCAAUGCUGGUGGUCACGUACAUCGCUGGCACGGGCGCAACUGACGUGGCUCCCAAACACCCUCCUAGAUGCUACUGGAUCUGUCAAACUCACCCUGUUGGGGACCCGCUGGUCUGUGACCGCUGCUACAGCCAGGUGGGCACCUGUGUGUCCUUCGGCUACCCGAAAUGCUGGGUGUAUGGACGCAAUUGCGCCAGAAGCAACUGGUACGCCAUCAAGUGCUGCCGUCGUCACUAUUGUAGUUAAAAAAGUACUGUUGGCUUGACCACGACCGUGUAGAGGUCGCUACAUAUUGCCUUUUAAACGUUAACGUGUAUUGAUUUGAUGAUUACUGCUUAGGCUGAAACUAUGGCAAUUAAAGGCCUUGAAAAUAGUAUCAAUACAUUUCAGCCGUUUUCAAAGAAACAAGACAAAGAAUUUUUGAUUCAUUUAUAACUCGUGCUAUAGACAAUAAAAUUUCGAUUAUUUCUGGUUUAUAUC
This is a long non-coding RNA of Lingula anatina, 597 nucleotides long. RefSeq lists it as uncharacterized. Lineage: Eukaryota; Metazoa; Brachiopoda; Lingulata; Lingulida; Lingulidae. The record is from RefSeq and is a predicted model, not a curated record.